UACGGGGGGGGCAAGCGUUGUUCGGAAUUACUGGGCGUAAAGGGCCAGUAGGCGGCCAACUAAGUCCGACGUGAAAUCCCAAGGCUUAACCUUGGAACUGCGUCGGAUACUGGAUGGCUUGAAUUCGGGAGAGGGAUGCAGAAUUCCAGGUGUAGCGGUGAAAUGCGUAGAUAUCUGGAGGAAUACCGGUGGCGAAGGCGGCAUCCUGGACCAACACUGACACUGAGGAGCGAAAGCCAGGGGAGCAAACGGG
Molecule: ribosomal RNA, 253 nt
Filed under: uncultured bacterium
Lineage: Bacteria
Description: partial 16S ribosomal RNA
Rfam family: Bacterial small subunit ribosomal RNA
Source: RNAcentral